UACGAAGGGGGCUAGCGUUGCUCGGAAUCACUGGGCGUAAAGGGUGCGUAGGCGGGUCUUUAAGUCAGGGGUGAAAUCCUGGAGCUCAACUCCAGAACUGCCUUUGAUACUGAGGAUCUUGAGUACGGGAGAGGUGAGUGAAACUGCGAGUGUAGAGGUGAAAUUCGUAGAUAUUCGCAAGAACACCAGUGGCGAAGGCGGCUCACUGGCCCGUAACUGACGCUGAGGCACGAAAGCGUGGGGAGCAAACAGG
Molecule: ribosomal RNA, 253 nt
Filed under: uncultured bacterium
Lineage: Bacteria
Description: partial 16S ribosomal RNA
Rfam family: Bacterial small subunit ribosomal RNA
Source: RNAcentral